CUACGGGGCGCUGCAGUGGGGAAUAUUGCACAAUGGAGGAAACUCUGAUGCAGCAACGCCGCGUGGAGGAUGACACUUUUCGGAGCGUAAACUCCUUUUAUAUAGGAAGAAGAUGACGGUACUAUAUGAAUAAGCGCCGGCUAACUCCGUGCCAGCAGCCGCGGUAAUACGGAGGGCGCAAGCGUUACUCGGAAUCACUGGGCGUAAAGGACGCGUAGGCGGGUUGGAAAGUCAGGUGUGAAAUCCUAUAGCUUAACUAUAGAACUGCUUCUGAAACUCUUAAUCUAGAAUAUGGGAGUGGUAGAUGGAAUUUCUGGUGUAGGGGUAAAAUCCGUAGAGAUCAGAAGGAAUACCGAUUGCGAAGGCGAUCUACUAGAACAUUAUUGACGCUGAGACGCGAAAGCGUGGGGAGCAAACAGGAUUAGAUACCCUGGUAGUC
Molecule: ribosomal RNA, 439 nt
Filed under: uncultured bacterium
Lineage: Bacteria
Description: partial 16S ribosomal RNA
Rfam family: Bacterial small subunit ribosomal RNA
Source: RNAcentral